This 25053-nucleotide long non-coding RNA is filed under the name Lathyrus oleraceus (garden pea). Its description in RNAcentral is "Pisum sativum (pea) long non-coding RNA (PSAT_LNC004377)". Lineage: Eukaryota; Viridiplantae; Streptophyta; Magnoliopsida; Fabales; Fabaceae. The record is from RNAcentral.
GAAUCGCGCGUCAAACGGAGUUACGGAGCUAAAGUUACGUCAUUUUCAAUUUUCCAAUUUUUUUUAGUAACAGUUGAAACCUGUUACGCUCAAAUCGGUAACUGGUUACGAGCCAAAAACCUAUUUUUCGUCGUUGGAGGCCUUUCUAACCUCCAAUUUCGAUUCCGUAAAAACCUCUGAUCUCAGAAUUUGACAUACUAUAAUAAUUCAAUGAUUAAAAUAGAAAAUUCAUAGUAUAUCAAAGAUUAGCAUAAAAAAAUCGUUCAUUAUCAUCAAUUCAUAUGUACCCCAAACCUCCCAACAACAACAGUUUCAACAGUUCAUCAUUUCAACUCUGACCCGAAACCACAUCAAUUCACACAACUUGUACAUCACAUAAUCAAAUCAAAUUUCUUGGGUUUAACAGCAACAUUUUCAUCAUUCGCACAAUUCAAUCAAAUUUCAUGGGUUUAAUAGCAACAUUUUCAUCAUUCCCACAAUUCAAUCAAAUUUCAUGGGUUUAAAAGUAACAUUUUCAUCAUUUACACAAUUCAAUCAAAUUUCAUGGAUUUAACAACAACAUUUUCAUCAUUCACAUAAUUCACAUAAUUCAAUCAAAUUUCAUGGGUUUAACAAUAACAUUUUCAUCAUUCACAUAAUUCAAUCAAAUUUCAUGGGUUUAACAACAACAUUUUCGUCAUUCCCACAAUUCAAUCAAACUUCAUGGGUUUAACUGCAACAUUUUCAUCAUUCCCACAAUUCAACAUAGAUAAGAAAAUAUAUAUGUUGGUGUAAGCCCUAAAGGCCAAUACUUUUGGUACUUGUAUCGAAUUAUUUAUUAAUUAAUAAAAGGCUUUUUCUUUAUUAUGUUUGGUUAAUAAAGUCCCUAGAAUAGCUAGUCCGUUUAAUGUAUCAAGUAUGACUUAAUCAUGAGAUCACAUUAAACAUAAGGACACUAUUCUUAAAUUAUCCGUAGUCGAGCUUUAUUGUGAAGUGGGAUAACAUUAAAGCAUUAAGACUAUUAUGUUUGUAGACUGAUGAUCACAUCUCAUGGAUCAUGGAUAAAGAGUUAUCAAGUCUUAAACAUAGGUAUGAAUAUUAAGAGUAAUAUUUAUACCGGAUUGACCCGCUAUGAGAAUACUAUAUAGAAAGUUAUGCAAAGUGUCAUAAGUUAUUCUCAUGGUGAUAAUGGUGUAUACCACUCUUCGACCUGAAACCACUAUGGAUCCUAGAUGUAGAGUCGAGUGCUUUAUUGCUGAUCCAACGUUGUCCGUAACUGGAUAACCAUAAAGACAGUUGAUGGGUACUCCACGAAGCAUGCUGAGGGACAUGAGUGACCUAGAUGGAAUUUGCCCAUCCUGCAUAACAGGAUAAAUGUCUAUGGGCCCAAUAUUGAACUGGACAAGGAUGACACGGUCUAUACCUUGUGUUCAAUAUAGACAUAAGGGCAAAAGGGUAAUUAUACACAUAAUUAUUAUCACAGGAGGUUUUGUCAUAUCACAUGACAUUUUCGUGACUUAGGUAGCAGUGAUGUGUUGCUAGAUACCGCUCACUAUUUAUUAUGUUAAAUGCGUGAUUUAAUAUAAUUGCCAACGUCGCGAAAACCUACAGGGUCACACACAAAGGACGGAUUGAUGAGAGAUAGAUUAACUAAGGAACACCGUAAGGUACGGUGCACUUAAGUGGGAGACGAAAUAUGGUAAGGUACCAAAUACUUAAGUGAUUUUGGCAUAUUAUGUGAUAUGGGCCAAAAUACACUUAAGUGGGCUUUUUAGCUUGAAGCCCACACAAGUGGUUCUAUAAAUAGAACCCUUGGGUAGAAGCAUUGUCACUCAGACUAAAAACUCAAGUGAAGACUUGGAAUUUCGUUUCUCUCUCUCUCUCUCACUCAAAACCUUCAUUCGUACCAGCUAGCACUGAGAUUGAAGGAACCUGUUCGUGUGGACUGAGUAGAUAUGUUGUCAUCGUUCAACGUUUGUGAUCGCUCCGUGGAUUUGUAUCCAAGGUUUUGAUCGUUACAAGAGAUCUGCACCAAAGGUUUGAAUCGCCAUAAGAGGUAACGAUUCUAUCACUGAUCAUGCCCAUUCGUAAGGAUCACUAAAUGGAGAAAUUUUUAAAUUCCGCUGCGCCUUGGAUGGCAAUUCUCCUNNNNNNNNNNNNNNNNNNNNNNNNNNNNNNNNNNNNNNNNNNNNNNNNNNNNNNNNNNNNNNNNNNNNNNNNNNNNNNNNNNNNNNNNNNNNNNNNNNNNNNNNNNNNNNNNNNNNNNNNNNNNNNNNNNNNNNNNNNNNNNNNNNNNNNNNNNNNNNNNNNNNNNNNNNNNNNNNNNNNNNNNNNNNNNNNNNNNNNNNNNNNNNNNNNNNNNNNNNNNNNNNNNNNNNNNNNNNNNNNNNNNNNNNNNNNNNNNNNNNNNNNNNNNNNNNNNNNNNNNNNNNNNNNNNNNNNNNNNNNNNNNNNNNNNNNNNNNNNNNNNNNNNNNNNNNNNNNNNNNNNNNNNNNNNNNNNNNNNNNNNNNNNNNNNNNNNNNNNNNNNNNNNNNNNNNNNNNNNNNNNNNNNNNNNNNNNNNNNNNNNNNNNNNNNNNNNNNNNNNNNNNNNNNNNNNNNNNNNNNNNNNNNNNNNNNNNNNNNNNNNNNNNNNNNNNNNNNNNNNNNNNNNNNNNNNNNNNNNNNNNNNNNNNNNNNNNNNNNNNNNNNNNNNNNNNNNNNNNNNNNNNNNNNNNNNNNNNNNNNNNNNNNNNNNNNNNNNNNNNNNNNNNNNNNNNNNNNNNNNNNNNNNNNNNNNNNNNNNNNNNNNNNNNNNNNNNNNNNNNNNNNNNNNNNNNNNNNNNNNNNNNNNNNNNNNNNNNNNNNNNNNNNNNNNNNNNNNNNNNNNNNNNNNNNNNNNNNNNNNNNNNNNNNNNNNNNNNNNNNNNNNNNNNNNNNNNNNNNNNNNNNNNNNNNNNNNNNNNNNNNNNNNNNNNNNNNNNNNNNNNNNNNNNNNNNNNNNNNNNNNNNNNNNNNNNNNNNNNNNNNNNNNNNNNNNNNNNNNNNNNNNNNNNNNNNNNNNNNNNNNNNNNNNNNNNNNNNNUUAAAUUGAGAUCGAUCAAGUUACAUAUAUAUGAUAUAUGUAAUCCUGAUGCAAAAUACAUUAUAUAUGAUAUAGUGUUCUUGUUUCGUUCAUUCAAACACUCAAUGGUUGUUUUCCUUUGAGCGAUCAAUGGUCGUUUGCUUCUUGAUCCGACAUUAGUAUGGUGAAGCAAUGACGUGUUGAUCAAUCAUACUGAAUCAACAAUCGAGAUGUGUUUGACGGUCUGAAAUUGGUGCAUCAGGGUUAGUGACGGCACAAGGGUUGUGUUGUCAGAGAGUUAUGCGAUUGGGGUUAUGACUGCACAAGAGUUGUGCUUUCUAAACACUUUUUGGAACAGUGUUAACCGGUUAAUGCAUAUGGUUAACCGGUUAACGCAAUACGAAAUAAAUUUUUUUAACCUUUUCAAACAGUGUUAACCAGUUAACGCAUUUGGUUAACCGGUUAACGCAAGACGAAAUUCAGUUUUCUAAGAGAUUUUCAAACAGUGUUAACCGGUUAACACAUUUGGUUAACCGGUUAACGCAAGGCAGAAAACAAUUUUUGAACAGAUUUCAAACAGUGUUAACCGAUUAACGCAUAUGGUUAACCGGUUAACGCAAGGCAAAAUUCACCCGUUCGGCUAACUCAGUGCUUUAAAGUAUCAAGUGUUGAUGCGAAAAGCGACGUCGACCGGGCAGCGGACCCCCGGCUAACUCUGCGUAGUGUGAUCGGUCGUCGAAAUUUAAUUUGAUUUUAAUUAAUUAAAAGAAUUAAUAAUAAUAAUAAAGUGUUUAUUAUUGUCUUGUGGUGAUCGGUUAUGGCCUUAGUUUUCCUUUAUUUUGUUUUGGGUUUUAAAAUACGACCUGCGUGUCGUGCCUCUCUCUUAAUCUCCCAAAUGUAACUUCUUUUCUCAUCUCACUCCCUCGUAUGUAAAACGAGUUUCUUUUNNNNNNNNNNNNNNNNNNNNNNNNNNNNNNNNNNNNNNNNNNNNNNNNNNNNNNNNNNNNNNNNNNNNNNNNNNNNNNNNNNNNNNNNNNNNNNNNNNNNNNNNNNNNNNNNNNNNNNNNNNNNNNNNNNNNNNNNNNNNNNNNNNNNNNNNNNNNNNNNNNNNNNNNNNNNNNNNNNNNNNNNNNNNNNNNNNNNNNNNNNNNNNNNNNNNNNNNNNNNNNNNNNNNNNNNNNNNNNNNNNNNNNNNNNNNNNNNNNNNNNNNNNNNNNNNNNNNNNNNNNNNNNNNNNNNNNNNNNNNUUUUAAAAUACGACCUGCGUGUCGUGCCUCUCUCUUAAUCUCCCAAAUGUAACUUCUUUUCUCAUCUCACUCCCUCGUAUGUAAAACGAGUUUCUUUUAUGUAAUAUAAUGAUAUGAAGAAAGCAAAGAAGUCAAUGCCAAAGGAGGACAACCUUGAAGAUCUUGCUUGGAGAAGCUUAGAUCGUUGUUAGGUUAGCUUAGGUUCUCUCAUUGGCUUGGGAGAACAAUUGUGCUAGGGGCCGUAACUGUUUCAUUAUGUAUGUAUGUAUGUUGAUGCAUGUGAAUGUAUGUUGAUGCAUGUGAGAGACGGUUUAUAUGAUAAACAAGCCGGUGAGAUCAUAAAAAUUGUAAUUCCCUCAAAUUAAAUAUUAAGUUUAUGCUUUCCAAGUUUUAACACUCAUCAAGACUAGUAAUGGAUAAUGUAGGUUUCGCCUACGCGACGUGCACGUUCUAUAUUAGUAAGGUGCGAUGGGAUAAUUGUAAUAUCCAAUUGUUAAAACAAUGGGUCAAACUUAACUAAACUAAUUAUAAUAACAUUAUAUAUGUUUAGAAGCAAGAGUUGGGAAUGAUCCAUAUGAUGGAUUGGAAUAAGGAGUUAUUCACCCAACUGAAAUUUUCGAGAGUUGUAUGAGAUACAAUUGGAAGGAGUUCCUACCUAAAUAACCUAGUUUUGUGUAAUCCGCCUACGCGGACUUAGAACGAAGUGAAAUAUGGAUCUCGACCCACUAGAAAAUCUUCCAACGGGAUUUUCCGAAUCAAAUGAUGAUGGUCAUUUGUUUUGAGUAAAAUAGUGGGAGCAUAUUUGAUUAAAGGCCUAAUUAAAUAUGUCAAUGAUACUUAUAUUUUCAUUAAAUCUUAUGUAGAUUACCAUGACAGCAAACACCUCUAACAACAUCCUACGAUCAAUCCUUGAUAAGGAAAAAUUGUCUGGGACAAAUUUUCUGGAUUGGCACUGAAACUUGAGGAUUGUCCUCAAACAUGAUAAAAAGCUGUAUGUCUUGGAGACACCUGUUCCUGAAGAGGAACCUCCUAGUUCUGCACCUAAGGCAAAAAGAGAUGGUUAUAAGAAGCAUGUCGAUGAUGCCAAUGAAACUGCUUGUCUCAUGCUAGCUACCAUGAACUCAUAAUUGUAAAAGCAACAUGAGAACAUGUCAGCGUUCAAUAUGAUCGAACACCUGAAGAUGCUCUAUCAAGAGCAAGCAAGGCAUGAGAGGUUUGAAGUUUCAAAAGCCCUUUUUCAAGGCAAGUUAGAUGAGGGAGCCCCUGUAGGUCCCCAUGUGCUCAAGAUGAUUGGGUAUGUGGAAAACCUUGAGAGAUUGGGUUUUCCCCUCGAAAAGGAACUUGCGACUGAUUUGAUCUUGCAAUCGUUGCCAGAUAGAUUCAGUCAAUUUGUCCUAAAUUUCAAUAUGAAUGAUAUGGACAAAUCUCUUCCUGAACUGCUCGCCAUGUUAAGAACUGCUGAGCAGAAUCUGAAGUCAAAAGGGAAGUCCAUUCUGAUGAUCGGAAAUGGAAAGAGACAGAACAAAAGGCCCACCAAGCAGGGUGAUAAAGGGAAAGGAAAGGAAGUUGCCAAACCCAAACCCACUGUUGCUGCUUUGAAGCCUAGUGGAGGCAUAGCAAAAGAAGGCACCUGCUUCCAUUGCGGUAAGACCGGACACUGGAAGAGAAACUGCCCAAAGUACCUGGAAGAUAAGAAGAAUGGAGUAGAGACUUCAACUUCAGGUAUUUUUGUUAUUGAAAUUAAUUUAUCUACUUCUGCAUCAUGGGUAUUAGAUACUGGAUGCGGUUCUCACAUUUGUACAAAUGUGCAGGGACUAAAAAGGAGUAGAGAUUUGGCAAAAGGUGAAGUUGACCUACGAGUUGGCAAUGGAGCAAAGGUUGCUGCUUUAGCCGUAGGAACUUAUGUAUUGACUUUACCUAGUGGUUUAAUAAUUCAGUUAGAGAACUGUUAUUAUGUACCUGCAAUUAGCAGGAAUAUUAUUUCCGUUUCUUGUUUGGACAAGUUUGGUUUUUCAUUUAUAAUAAAGAACAAUUGUUGCUCAAUUUAUUUGAAUGAUAUAUUCUAUGCUACUGCACAAAUGAACAAUGGACUAUAUGUCCUUGAUCUUGAAAUGCCUAUUUAUAACAUUAAUACUAAAAGGAUGAAACCUAAUGAGUUAAAUCCAACUUACCUUUGGCAUUGUCGAUUAGGCCACAUAAAUGAGAAACGCAUUUCCAAACUCCAUAAAGAUGGACUCUUGGACUCUUUUGAUUAUGAAUCAUAUGAGACAUGCAGAUCUUGUUUAAUUGGAAAGAUGACAAAGUCUCCAUUCACAGGAAAAGGUGAAAGAGCUAAUGAUCUUUUGGCCCUCAUACAUACUGAUGUAUGUGGACCACUGAACAUACCAGCCAGAGGAGGUUUUCAGUACUUCAUCACAUUUACUGAUGAUUUCAGUAGAUAUGGUUAUGUGUAUUUAAUGAAACACAAAUCAGAGUCCUUUGAAAAGUUCAAGGAAUUCAAGAAUGAAGUACAAAACCAACUAGGUAAGAAUAUUAAAACUCUUCGAUCAGAUCGAGGUGGUGAGUAUUUAAGCCUAGAGUUUGAUGACCAUCUGAAAGAGUGUGGGAUCCUAUCCCAACUUACUCCUCCUGGAACACCCCAAUGGAAUGGUGUAUCUGAGAGAAGAAAUCGAACCCUGUUAGACAUGGUCCGAUCCAUGAUGAGUCACGCCGAUCUUCCAAACUCCUUUUGGGGACAUGCACUAUUGACAGCAGCUUACACACUUAACCGUGUUCCAUCCAAAAGGUUGAAAAGACACCAUAUGAGAUAUGGAGUGGUAAGAGACCACAUAUGUCUUACAUGAAGAUUUGGGGUUGCGAAGUUUAUGUGAAACGACAAAUUUCAACUAAGCUUGAGCCCAAAUCUGACAAAUGCUUAUUUGUGGGGUAUCCUAAAGAAACAAGAGGGUAUUACUUCUACAAUCCUUCUGAGGGCAAAGUGUUUGUCGCUCGAACUGGAGUUUUCCUAGAAAAGGAUUUUAUUUCCAAAGGAAUCAGUGGGAGGAAAGUAGAGCUUGAAGAAAUUCAAGAAUCACAAAGCAUCGAUACACCUAUGGAGGAAUUAGAGCAGGAAACACAAGUAGUUGUGUAAGAGCAACCUGCUCAAGUAGAACAAGACCAGCGUAGGUCAAGCAGGAUACAUCACCUACCUGAGAGAUAUGGAUAUCUCAUAAAAGAUCAAGGUGAUGUAUUACUCAUGGAUCAAGAUGAGCUUGUGACCUACUCAUGGAAUCUUCAUUUUGAUGAAACAGUAAAACAAUAUGGAUUCAUCAAGAACGAAGAUGAGCCUUGUGUCUACAAGAAGGUUAGUGGGAGCAUGAUCGUGUUCCUGGCAUUAUAUGUAGAUGACAUAUUACUCAUUGGAAACGAUAUCCCUACCCUGCAACAAGUAAAGUCUUUGUUGGGGAAAUUCUUUUCUAUGAAAGACCUAGGUGAAGCAGCCUAUAAAUUAGGAAUCAGAAUCUAUAGAGAUAGAUCACAAAAUGCUUGGCCUAAGUUAGAGUACAUAGACAAAAUGCUGAGACGCUUUAAUGGUUCCAAUGGUUAUGUGUUUUGCUUAAAUGGUGGCGCUGUGAGCUAGAAAAGUUCAAAGCAAGAUACAGUUGCUGAUUCUACAACCGAGGCCGAGUAUAUUGCUGCCUUAAAUGCAGCAAAGGAAGUUGUUUGGAUCAGAAGUUCCUUAGUGAACUUGGCAUAGUUCCUGGCAUUGUGGAUCCCAUUGGUUUCUAUUAUGAUAACAAUGGUGCUAUCGCACAAGCUAAGGAGCCUAGAUCUCACCAACGAUCCAAACACAUACUUAGGCGUUAUCAUCUCAUUCGAGAGAUAAUAGAUAGAGGAGAUGUGAAAAUAUGUAGAGUACCUACACUUGACAAUAUUGCUGACCCACUAACGAAGCCUCUUGCGCAGCAGAAGCAUGAUGGCCAUAAUAGUCAAUGGGCAUUAGGGGUAUGCCUGAUUGGCUCUAGUGCUAGUGGAAGAUUGUUGGUGUAAGCCCUAGAGGCCAAUACUUUUGGUACUUGUAUCGAAUCAUUUAUUAAUAAUUAAAAGGCUUUUUCUUUAUUAUGUUUGAUUAAUAAAGUCCCUAGAAUAGCUAGUCCGUUUAAUGUAUCAAGUGUGACUUGAUCGUGAGAGCACAUUAAACAUAGGGACACUAUUCUUAAAGAAUUCGUAGUCGAGCUUUAUUGUGAAGUGGGAUAACAUUAAAGCAUUAAGUCUAUUAUGUUUGUAGAUUGAUGAUCACAUCUCAUGGAUCAUGGAUAAAGAGUUAUCAAGUCUUAAACAUAGGUAUGAAUAUUAAGAGUAAUAUUUACACCGGAUUGACCCACUAUGAGAAUACUAUAUAGAAAGUUAUGCAAAGUGUCAUAAUUUAUUCUCAUGGUGAUAAUGGUGUAUACCACUCUUCGACCUGAAACCACUAUGGAUCCUAGAUGUAGAGUCGAGUGCUUUGUUGCUGAUCCAACGUUGUCCGUAACUGGAUAACCAUUAAAGACGAGUGAUAGGUACCGUCCAGCAAAGUCAUGAGCCUGAGGAGACGAUGAGUGGUCCUAGGAUGAAUUUUGGCCCAUCCUGUGUAAGCAGGAUAAUGGUCUAUGGCGGCCCAAUGAUUGAAGACGUGGAAGGAUGACGCGGUGGUGGUCGGUUAUACCCUUGGGUUCAUAUGACAUAAGGGCAAAAAGGGUAAUGGUAGUACAGCAGUAAUUAUUAUCACGAGGGGGUUUGUGGUUAGAUCACAUGACAUUUCCGUGACUAUUGGGUAGCAGCUGAGUGUUGCUAGAUACCGCUCACUGGUUGUAUUUUUGUUAGAAUGCGGUGAUUUUGAUUUAAUUGCAACGUCGCGAAAAACCUACAGGGUCACACACAAGGACUGAUUGAUGAAAUUAGGAUAACUAAGGAACACCAUAAGGUACGGUGCACAUAAAUGGGAGACAAUAUGGGAAUACCAAUACUUAAGUAUUUUGCAUAUUUGAGAUAUGGGCCAAAUACACUUACAUGCCUUUAGCUUGAAAGCCCACGACAAGUGUGGUGCUGAUAAAUAAACGCCUGCUUGGUAAAGCGAUGUCGCACUCAGACUUAAAAAUCAAUGUGAAACUUGGAAUUUCGUUUCUCUUCUCUCUCACUCAAAGCCAUUCCAAUCUGUUACAGCUAGCACUGAGAUGAAGGGAACCCUUCUGUGAGCUGAGUAAGACUUGUCAUCGUUCAACGUUCGCGAUCGCCCGGUGGAUUUGUAUCCAAGGUUCUGAUCUUACAAAGAUUCUGCACCAAAGGUUUGAAUCGCCAUAAGAGGUAACGAUUCUAUCACUGAUCAUGCCCAUUCGUAAGGAUCACUAAAUGGAGAAAUUUUUAAAUUCCGCUGCGCCUUGGAUGGAAAUUCUCCUUCAAUUAUAACAUUGCAUUUGCAUCUUGCCUCAAGGAUCAUAGCAUCUUGGCUCCUAACCCUAGGGUGGGAACUUUUGUGAGUUGGUUUGAGAUCACCAAGCAUGCUUGAAUUGUAUAUUAUUGCUUUUCUUCUUUUGUUUACUAAGCAAAAGCACAAAAAUAUGUCAUUAACAUCUUUUGUUUUGUAGCUUGAGCAACCAUAAUAUCCAAGGCUCCUAGAAGACUCUAUGCUCAUUAAUAUGGCCAUAUGAAGUUGAAAGCAAGCAUGACAAUGGCUCACAAGGCUCUCAUCCAUCAUAUAUGCCUCCCAAGUAUCUCAAUUCAUAAUUUUGAUCAAAGCAAACCAAAGGGAUUGAGGCUUGUUUCCCAAGGAAACCCUAAUUCAUAUGUUCAUCAACUGUGCCUUGCUCAUGAAGCAACCUCAACCCAUGAUCAAAUACAAUUAAGGGAAAUUAUUUCACUAAUAAUUUAAUGCAUAUUUGAGCUUAUUUGAGUUUCCUCAAUCAUCAAUUCAUCAAGAUUCGAGGCAUGGACUUGAGAAGUUGAUCAGUUAAUUCAUCUGACUAUUUUGAAGUACACUGAGACCUAACUUUUAAUGUAUUUAUCAAAUGGAGAUGACCCCAAGAGAAAACAUGUUCUUAAUAACCAUAUGAACAACUUUCAUUUUCAUCAAAAAUUAAUUUGAAGCUUGGAAGGUCAUCAUCCAUUUCAAAACAUUAUAGGUCCUUUUGACUGAAACCCUAAUUUUGGGUCAACUUCCCAAGAACAUAACUCUUUCAUUUUUUAUGAUUUUGAGGUGGGAUCAAAUGAAUUGGAAAGUUUAAGAUGUAUAAUUCAUUUGUUAUGUAGAACAAAUUUUCAUAAUCCUAAAAGAAAUAUAUGUGAUAAUGCAAAACAUUAUAGGUCACUUUGGACCAAAGGCAUUGAAAUGUGAAAAAGUCCAACUUCAAGUGCCCAUAACUUUCUCAUAAAAAAUACAAAUGAUGCAACAUUUAUGUCCAAAUUGAUUGUAUUGAAAAUACCUACAACUUUUAUGUUGAAGGUUUUGUUAUUUGGAGCUUGUAUCUUUGAAAUAGAAGGGCUUGAAGUUGGCCCAUUUUGGAAAUUUUCACAUACACAUGUUUUGCACCUUGCACUUUAUGAUCAGUUUUCAUCAAUUUUCCAACUCCAAAUGAAGUUUUUCCCAACAUAACAAUUGACCCUCAUGCCAAGAGCUUUCCAACCAUUACCCAUAAGGCCAUGUUCUAUUUUUGGAUGUGGCAUUUUCGAAGAGGAUAACAUUCUAGUGCAUUUUUGGAAACAAGUUGAAAAUACAUUGCACAAGCUCAUGACAUCAUUUCUGCACGUCCAUUCCUACUCAAUGUGAUACCAGCAUUCAUUUGCAAUCAGAAUUGGACCCUCUAUGCACCUGUACAGGCCCAUGCAUGGAGGCCCUCUUCAUUCAUGCACACACAUUGUUCAUGCAUUGACUUUGCCAUUUGCUAUAAAUAGGAGUGCAUAACUUCAUCAUUGGACAACCUGAAGGCGCCUGUUAUGCUGCAAGAAUCCCUCUAUAGCCUCACUUAAAGGAACUCUCUCUUUAUUUUCAAAUUUUCAGAUAUGAAUUUCAACUUCAUUGGUUGAUUUUCAGACUCAUAGUUCCUUGACCUUGCUUCAUCUUCAUCCUGAGAUCAUACUGCAAGCAAUAGCUAAGAGAAUUCGUGCCUUUCAGAUCCACAUUUCAGAGGUGGAUGCUCAAACUUUUUCUCUUCGAAACUCCUUGAUUAUUAUUGUUUUCUUGCAUUUAUUGGUUUGGCUUAAGUCCUCUCAUCAGAGGCAAUUGAUUUGUGUUUUGAAUUUUGAAAAACCAUUAAGUUUCAGUUGAACAUCAUAAUUUUUAACCUUUGAUUUCUUUUACCAUGGAUGUCUAGAGCGAAAAUAGAUGGCACAGGGGUGAUGUACAUCACCCCAGCUUUCCAUUGCUGUAUAGAUCGUGGCAUUUGGUUGAGGUUGCAAUGUCUGCAACUCUCACCGGAACUGAAGGUCUCGCCGGAGAAGACGGUGGUGUACACCACCAUCCGUUUACCAGAUUAAGCCAUGGCUGUUGGAUCUCGUUUCCAGAUCUAAUCUGGAUCCUUCUUUCUUAUGACUUUUUUAAUGGCUACCUGUUGCUCAGUUGACUAGCGUGUUUGGUGGAUGCGCGCUCAUGGACCGUUUGAUGCGCCAGCUCAAUUAAUGAGCUUAUAUCCAACGCCUCACGUUUUUCCUAAUUUUUUAUUUCUGAUUUUAAUUUUCAUUUUAUUUCUUUUAUUCCAUUUCAUUUCAAAAAAUCAUAUCUCAUUCAUUAUUAAUCCAAAAAAUGUGAGACCAAUUGCAUUAUUUCUCUUUUAAUUUCUAAUUUCUGAAAAUGAUUUUUAAUAUUUUUUAUUUUAUCAUUUGAUAUUUUUUAUGAAUUUUCUCUUUUCUGGUUAUUUUUAAUUCAUUUUAAAUAGUUUUUGAUAUUCAAAAGAUAAAAAAAUAUUUUCUCAACCUCUUUGAAUGAUGAUGGAUCUAUGAAAAAUAUUCCCAUCAAUUUAUUAAUUGAUUUGAGAUUUAUUUGAGAUUUUAAUUCAAUUAGAUUAUUUUUAUGCAUUUUUAAUUGAUUAAAAAUAGUUUCUGGUUUCUAAAAAUGCUAAAAAAAAUUGUCAAACUUUGUUUGACCUUGUUGAACUUAGGAUGAUCCAUUUCGACUUUUCAAAGUUGAUUUGAAAUGGAUUUGAAAUUUGACCUUUAAUUGUUUAUUUUAAUUCAAGUAUUAUUUUAAUUUUGAAAAAUACCAAAAAUAUUUUAUUUGUUUCUUGACUUCUAAGCUUCAUUUGGCUUCUGUUUACUAAUGUUUGGCCUUGGUUCCAUCUAUCUUUGGUCAAUGUAUGUUGAUUACUUCAUUUGAAUUUCCAUUAAUGCACUUUCUUAUUCAUCUCCUUCUUCUUCUUCUUUUUCUUUUUUGAUCAAUGAGUUAAAGAUUGGUGGUUAGCCUUGAAGUAUGGGAGGUUUAACCUUCCUUGAUUCAAAUCUAAUUCAUCUUGAUCAUAGAUCAAGUGAAUGGCUUUGCAUUAAGGAUAGGUUGCUUCCUAAUCAAGCAAAGAACCUAAAUCAAUACAAGAUCAGUUCUCAUCUUCUUUUGCAUGGCAAGUUGUAGGAGCUUGAUUCACUAAUCAAGAUCUCUAACUUGUGUUUGUUGCCUAUAUUCUAUUGACCGGCCUCAGAUAGGUGUGACUACUACAUUAGUCCACUUACGAUUGCUUAGCGCUAAAUUGCCUUAUGGCACACUAACUCUAACUAUUGACCAUUAACAUUUAAUUCUUGCACUUUACAUUUAUGCAAUUUAAUAUUCUUGUACAUAUUAUUCAUUUGCUUUUGCCCUUUGCUCACUUGAGCCCAUGUUUAUGUUAAUGCAAUUUGCCUUUUGCUCACUUGAGCACAUAAUUGUAUAUAUAUUAUUGUGCUUGUGUUUUGUUUUGAUUGUUGUGAACCAAAUGCCAAAUGGACAAAAGGACUUAGAUUCUAGGACAUUCCCUAUGCAAAAAUGGAGUGAAAAGGCCUUAAUGUUAAAGAUGAAUUGGAAGGACCAAAUCUCUAAACUCAUUCUUGUCCAUUCCUUGUUGACAUUAUAGAACUCUUUGAUGUGUGUGUUCUUGUGCUAGGGAUUCCUAUUUGAGCCAAAGUGAAGAACCAUUGUCAUGUGCAUCUAAAGCGAGAGAUACAAGAGCCAUUGGAAGAUUCCUAAGAGCCUUGCUUGAUUGAUUGAUUGAUUGAGUAUACACUUAUUUGCUUGCUUAUUCCAAAGGAUGGGAGCUACUUGGAUCAUCAAUAUGAUCUCAAGAAGGGAACUCCAUUUGUGGUCUUGUUUCUUCUCCUUCAUCUCUUGUAUGCUUAGGACUUAGCCAUUCUUCUUCUUCCCUCCACUCUAACCCAAGCCAAAACUUUUGUGCAAACAUUAACAUUUGUUUUCAAACAUUAGAAACCUAAGCAUCAUGCUUUUGAUUUUCAAACUUUCUUUUCAUAACACUUAUUUUGAAUUGAAUCUUUAAGUCAACUUUGACCAUGUUUUGUAAAUACUUUUCAUUGGUAAAUAUAACUCACUUAAAUGUUUUGUGGUUUCAAUGGCCACUUUCUUAUCAAAACUUUUCAUAACCAUUAGCUAUUAGGUUCGAGUUAUCCUUGAGGAACUAUAUUAUGAGUGGAUAUAGGAAUCACUACCUGUUACUGUCUUCCAUGCUUAUUAUAGGGUUAACCCCUCACUAGCAUGUUGAAGCUAUCCUCACAUGGUGGAUUUGUGGUUUUAAGGUUGAGUUUUCUCCCUUGGAUAACAAAAUACCUUAAGGCUUUUGGACCAAUCAAUUCACCAACUUCUUUUGAGAUUUUUACCCCAAACUACGAGGUUUUGAUCCUAAUUGUUUUUAAGAUGGUACGUAGGCAGUGGGUUUAUCCAUUCAAACACAAAAAUUGUAAAUAAUUUGUACAUUCUUCUCUCAUCUCCCCAAUCAUGUUUGCACAAAUAAUUUUCACAAAAUACCAACCUACCUUACAACAAAUUGUGAAAAGAGCUCCCUAGGAGUACCUAGGAUGUUUUGGGUGCUUAAAACCUUCCCAUUGCAUAACCAACCCCCUUACCCCAAUCUCUGACAUUUUUAUUAGUUUUUGAUUCGAUAAAACUUCUCGGUUUUUGUUCGAGGGUGCUUAAAACCUUCCCAUUGCAUAACCAACCCCCUUACCCCAAUCUCUGACAUUUUUAUUAGUUUUUGAUUCGAUAAAACUUCUCGGUUUUUGUUCGCUUUCUAACCUUUCCUUUGGAUAAAUAAAAAUGCGGUGGCGACUCGACUUGUAUGAUUUACUUUUGAUUUAGUCAAUAAAUCUAAAGGUAACGAAUACCCCGCUAUAGUUAUGUCACACAACCACAUAAAUAGUACAAUGCAUUCCAACACCAUCACACAGAAAAAUAUUCAUUUUCAAGUACUGAAACCAAUUUUAAAUGACAAUAAACACUCUUAGCUUUCCGACGCUUCAAACCACGCGUCAAACCGAGUUACGGAGUUCAAAUUACGUCAUUUUUAAUUUCCCAAUUUUUUCACGUAACAGUGGUAACCGGUUACUCUCAAAUCGGUAACCGGUUAUGGGCUUCAAAAACAGCCCAGAAACCUAUUUUUCACCGUUGGAGGUCUUUCAAACCAAUGUUUUAAAAACCGUAUCGGAGAUCGAACAGGUAAAACUUGCGGUUUAAGAUUUAAUUAGUUCAACCGAUUAAACCUACGCUCGAACCGUUUAUUAAAUAAACUAAUAGUUCUACCCUUCAUUUAAGAAUAAUUUGACCAAAUUAAAGAAUUACAAUAAAAUUAUUUAAACUAAUUUAAAUAAAUAUUAAAAUAAUAGAAUAUAAUAACUAAAAUAAAGUUCAAAUAAUUAAGAAUACCUAAAUUAAAUAAGAUAGAAUACUAAAAAUAAAUAAUAUAUUAUACUUUAUUAAACAAAACAAAAAAACGAAUUUGAGUUGAACUACGACAAACAAGUCUUAAUUGACAAAAACAAAUAAUAUUGACUUGAACGACAAUCAAUAUUAUGUUGGGUAUCACUAUGUUUAAAAGAGACGACGUGAUGAUGAUGGAGUAUGGUUGAAAGAAAAACUAUAAUGGAGUGAAGAAACUUAGAAGUUUGUAUGGUUGUAAAACAAAUAUAGAAUUCUUUGUUUGUGUUGGAGAAUGUACGUUGAGUUUUGAUAUUGACAUGUUAAAUUUUUUAUAAAAAAAGGUUAAUUUAAUGCAUUUUUUUGAAUCGGACGGUUUUACAAAACCGACUUAGGUUCUUUGGUUCGAAUGGUUUUGGGCGAUUCAAUCCGGUUUUUCCAGUUUUACUUCGGUUUUAACCCACUAACGAUUUUGAAAGGUUUACCCAACCAGAUUCAUCUCCGGUUCCCGAUCCAACUAGUUGAACUGGUCGGUUCGGUCCGGUUCUUAAAGCAUUAUUCUGGACCUCCGAUUUCGAUUCCGUAAAAACCUUUGAUCUUAGGAUUAGACAUACUAUAAUUAUUCAAUAAUUAAAACAAAAAAAAUCAUAUUAAAUCACAUAUUAGCAUAAAAAAACCAUUCAUUCUCAUCAAUUCAUAUGUACCCCAAACCUCCCAACAACAACAAGUUGCAACAAUUCAUCAUUUCAACUCUGGCCCGAAACCACAUCAAUUCACACAACUUUUACAUGUCAGAAUCCAAUCAAAUUUCAUGGGUUUAACAACAACAUUUUCAUCAUUAGCACAAUUCAAUCAAUUUCAUGGGUUUAACAAUAAUAUUUUCAUCAUUCCCAUAAUUCAAUCAAAUUGCAUGGGUUUAACAACAACAUUUUCAUCAUUCCCACAAUUUAAUCAAAUUGCAUGGGUUUAACAACAACAUUUUCAUCAUUUCUACAAUUUAAUCAAAUUUCAUGGGUUUAACAACAACAUUUUCAUUAUUCGCAUAAUUCAAUCAAAUUCCAUACGUUUAAUGACAAUAUUUUCAUCAUUCCCACAAUUCAAUCAAAUUUCAUGGGUUUAACAAUAACAUUUUUAUCAUUCUCACAAUUCAAUCAAAUUUCAUGGAUGUAGAAGCAACAUUUUCAUCAUUCACAUAAUUCAAUCAAAUUUCAUGGAAAACACAUAAUCUACAUAGAGAAGAAAACACAUAACCUACAUUGCAUAAUCUAUCCACCAUCAUCAUGUUAACCCUUAGAUAAUCAGAACCCCGCCCUUACCUUAGAGUUCCUAGAAAUAACUUCUUUAACCUUCAAUAAUGGUGAAUCUCCCCUUGAGUCCUAGCAUUUUCUUCUCACUCUAUCUGCUUCUCCUCUUUUCUCUCCAAAUGUUACGUACUGAGUUUCUAUCCCAAUACCCCUUUUAUAUUUUUAUUAUAAAUCAUAUUAUUUUUUAAACUUAUUAUAUUAUCACUAUUUUCUUAAUAAUAAUAAUAAUAAUAAUAAUCCACUCAAAUUAAAUAAUUAAAUUAAUAUUCAUAUAAUAUUAAUUAAAUAAUUAAAUAAUUAAAUAAUAACUAGUAUGAUUAAUUAGUUUUAGUCAUCACACCAUCUUUUCUACACUCUUACUCACACACUCUCCAACACCUUAAUUUCUAAGGCAGCUACCCCACACCAAGGGUACACAACACAUCAAAACACCAAUCAACACAACACAACCAUAACUAUCACAUAAUUAAAUUACGGAAAAUAAUUUAAAUAAAAUUGGGGCGUUACAUCACUUGUGUGCAGCUGACUUAGGAAGAAUUAGAUUGGGAGUUGGAUUAUAGGUUAUCCUUUGGCUUAGUCAUUUUGCAGCAAGGCAAUGUGGCAAGGCAGAAAGGGCAAUGCGUGGAAUAUGAUGCUUGAACUAUUUAGCCAACAACGCAAGGGCUUGGUGUUAUGGAGCUUCUUGAUGGAAUUUGGAAUGUUAUGGAUGUCAUGGAAUUGUUUAUAUAUUUCCAUUAUUGUACUUUAGUUGUAAUUGGAAAAUUGACAAUGAAUGUAUGAAUGGUUAUGUUGCAAUACGUAUGGAUUUUUUUGAAUGAAAUCUUAUUUAUGUAUGGAUUUGAUUGAAUUUAUAUUGGAAGGUGGAUUUGAAUGUAUAUAGUUUAAUGAAAAUUGAAUGACAUGGUUUUGAAUUGGUUAAAACAAAAGGUUGUAUUGUAAUUGAACUAAUGGCUAUGUAAUUAAUGUUUCAAUGGUUGAAUGGUUUAAAAAAUGAUAAGAUGGCUUAAGUGAUGGAAUAUGGACUAGGUUCACCUAGAGGUCCAACUGCUGGUCUGACAAAGAAAUGAACCUGGUUAUGAACUUGGUCAUGACCUAAUUUCUUGGUCCAAAUGGUGGUCCAACCUAGAAAUGGACCAAUAAAUGGACCAAGUCCCUUUAGUCAUGCAAAAUCCAAUGAAACAAGGACUUUAAUGAUGAAGCACGGAAGAAUGAAUGAAAAUUGGUUUUAGGGGGUCAAGGGAGGGUCAGUUGACUUUGGUCAACUGAUUGACCAAAAAGUAAGUUGUUGACCAAAAGUCAACUAUAACAAAUCUGAACAAUAAUGUGGUUUUGUAUGGACAUGAACACCUUUGUAAUGGAAUGAACAAUAUGUGAGUGAAAAUGACACUUAAAUUGAUUAAGUUGAUCAUGAAUGAAAUUGUCUAAAAAGACUAUGGACUGGAUUGAAUUGGCUGGUGGACAUGACCAUCCAAUGAACCAAACAUGAGAAACAAGACCUAACAAUCUUGAAUGUGUUAUGAAUGAGGACUUUAUUGAACUUGAAUAGACUAAAUACCCAAGAGUAAUGACCAAGGUAAAACCAAAUGGAUGGGGAAUAAUGACCUUGAUCCAGAUGAAAUCCCAAACGAGUGGAUAUGUAGAUUAGAUGAAUGAAUCUCAUGCACAAAGGCAAGUUUAAUAGUUGAUGAUGCAUGAGAAGAUGUAUGACAAGAUGUAUGACAAGAACAUCCUUCUAAUGAGCUAGGGUUUUAGUCAUUUCCAUGAUUAAAAGUCAACCUCAAAUGGCACACAAGUACCAAGCUUCCUUGAUUAGGGUUUCAUGAUGCACAACCCCCAAUCAAGGUCUUCAAACAAAGCAAGAAGCUCCACAAUUAAGACCCCAACACAUGGGCCCAUAAUUAGGGUUUAGAUUAUCAAAUCAAUGCUCAAGAAGCAAUCAUAAAGUCUCAUAGUAGCACAAUCAAGGAUUAGGGUUUUGAUGCCCUGAUCCAUAAGCAAACCUUAGUCCUUCUGUUAAGCAUGAACUUUGAAUCUAUGAUGAUUAUUAGCAAGUGUUAAUAUGAAUGAAUGAUGCACAUGAAUGAGGCAUGAAUGAGUACAGAUGAAUCUUAAGUCAUAGGUUAGAUGAAAAAUGAGAAAGGGAGGACAAAUUUUGGGUAUGACAACCUUAAGUGCUGUCACCAUAGGGAUCCAUUUCUUUGGAAGACUUUUGAGGAUUUUCUUUACGUGAUCUGAAGUGGUGUAGCCUUUGUUCAGAAAUUUUAAUCCAUCCACAAGAGUUUGAAAUCUUGAGAACAUUUCCUCAAUCAUUUCAUCUUCUUCCUUUUUGAAUGACUCAUACUUCUGGAUUAAAUCCGAGCCUUUAGUUUCUUUAAUUUGCUCAUUCCCUUCAUGAGUCAUUUUCAAAGAAUCAAAUAUAGACUUAGAAAAGUAUCCAUUUGUUAUCUUUUCAGACUCUGAAUUGGAAAUAACAUUCAACAAUAUAUUUUGGAUCUAUGAUGAUUCUUGUGACCCUUCUUUUAUCGCGCAUUCAUUUUGCUUCUUUCAAUCUUUUUACCAUUUUCAUAUAUGGAAUGAAUUUAAACAUAUAUCAUCAUAUCCCACAGAUCUGCAUCAUAACCUAUGAAGAAACAUUUGAUUCUAUCUUUAUAAUAGUCGAACUUUCUCCAUCAAUGAUUGGAAGUUUUGCAGAAUAAUGAUCUUUAUCAUUGUUUGUAUGUGCCAUUAUGUGUCUCAAAAAUAUGGAUGUUUAUCUGACACGGUUAAGUGUUUGACAUAAAAUAGUCAAUAACAUUACCAAAGUUCCGAUGCCAAUUGAAGGUUUCGGAAACACAAGAAAGGGGGGGAUUAAAUUGGGUUUCAAAUAUGACAAGUUUUUGUUAUCAAAAAAAAAUAAUGAUAAAAAUUACAAUAUAUUUUUAUCUUAGUUCACCGUUAACGGGGUUAAUCCAUCCCACUCGCCAGAGUGAUUUUUCCUUCUCAAUGGGACUUAAUCAAGUAAUCACAAUGAUUACAAUCUCAAAGACUAUCCGCCAAUGACUUCUUAAGGAUUCUGACUAACCUUAGUCAUUAAGGAAUUACAACUCAAAGACUAACCAUAAAUGACUUCUUAAGGCUUCUGACUAUACCCUAGUCCCCUGAGGAACUUAACAAUUGUUUAAUACAAGAUUUUUGUUUACAAAGCUGCUUCUAAAUAAGCAGAUACACAAAGUGAUUAUUAGAAUUUACACUUAAGAAUAUAUGAAAUGAAGUGAUAAGUGUUUCUUUCAAUUUUCUACUUCUUGAUAUGGAUCUUCUUUAUUGAAAUUCUUUCAGUAUGAAGUUUCUUAUCAUUGUUGUCGUUCAAUCGUUGUUUUCACAAUUCCUUUGUCCUCUUUAUAUAGAUGAAGAAAACUAUUGUUGGAGGAUAGAAUUGGAAACUUAUUCAAAUUCACAGUUGUAAUAGUUGGUACGAGAGUCAUCCGAAAAUAAUGGGUAAUGGAUAGAAAAUAUUUUAUAGUCGUUUGUAUUACACUCCUUUUGAUUUUGUAGCUUAACUUGUAUUGUACACUUAGAAUAUUCAUUCCAUCUUUAUCUCUAAAACAUUGGCUUUGUAUAUGAGAGACUUAAAGCUUGUUAAGAUUUCAGAUCCUUGAGAAUAAACUUCAGAUUCUAAUGUAAAUAAGGUUUGAAUGAAUAAGAGUACAUUUGUGUUGUUUACUUCAGAAGUGUUGAGUGGUAAAUCCAAAUUUGACUUUAAGUUCAGAACUUCUUCAUACUUUAACUUAUCCAAAGUCUGUUGAUGUCCAGAGUCUCUCUUUGUCCAGAGUUAGAAUAUGGUUUGACCAACUUUGUUCAGCGUCUAGCUUGUUCAGACUUUGCUAUAUUCAAGAUUUGGCUUGUUCAGACUUUACUUUGUUCAGGAUCUGGCUUAUUUAGAGUCUUCUUUCUCUAGUAUCAGGCUUAUUCAUAUUUUGCUUUACUUAGUUUCUAGCUUGUUUAGAGUCUGCUUGAUUCAGAUAUUGGCUUGUUCAAAUUAUGCACUUUUAACAAACUAUUAGAGUACAAAAUUGUUCUUUUACUCUCUGUUAUCAUCAAAACUCAAGGAUAAAAGAUGUAAUAGAAAACUUUUUCCAACAAUACAGUCUCAUACCUACACAGUAUUAUGAUUACUCUUGACCCAUUAGGGAUUUCGUCAACACAUUCCCCCUUUUUAGCUAAAAGUUAUCUAGGCCACUUGUUUUAUAUUCAUGUACUUUGAUAGUUAUCACCUCUCCAACUAAUCCUUGGUCGUCCAAAUUUUCCUCUAACUGGUCAAUAUUUCUUUUCAUACUAGGGAUCUCGUCGGGUAUGAUCUAGGAUUUUAGACAGGAACGCCAGAGUCAUUGAUUCAUUUGACUGUUUCCCACUUACGGCAAACGCAUGCCGGUCGACAACUCCAUCAAAUGAGUUUAUUCUGGGUGAGAUCUUCGUACCGACCCUCGUGAGAAAAGCUUCUCGGGACCCGCACUAUGCGACCAUCGACAUUGGGUUCUAGACAAGGGUCUCAGAGUCAUGGAUUUCCUUGACAGUUUGCCGCUUACGGCAAAAGCAUGUCGGUCGACAACUCCAUCAUGAAAAUCUACUCUGAGUGAGAUCUUCGUACCGACCCUCGUGAGAAAAGCUUCUCAGGGACCUAUACUACGUGACCAUCAAUAUUAGUUGGCAAAAGGUUCAAUAUUUUAUGAAGGUCCUUAGAGUUAUGCAUCCUAAUGAAAACAUUGAUCACUUACGUCAAAAGCUUGACGGUCGUCAAUAUCCUCAAAAGAAUCUACUCUAAGCGAGAUUCUCGUAUCGAUCCUUACAAGAAAAUCUUCUCGGUGGCCCAUACUACUCAACCUCUCCUAUCUCAAGUUUCCAUUCUAUACUCGGUUAGAGAGUCUCUCCCACAAGGUUUCUUGCAAUCAAGGUAGUAUCCGUCAAUACCAUAACAUAGGAACCACAUAACAGAUAUCCAAUGAAAAUUUAAAGCAAAAGGCAAUAAAUAAAGCAAGUAAUGCAAAAGGAUAACCACCCAAACACACGAGGAAGCAACCUAGACUAGGCUUGACUUGCUUAAGGAGGGCUCCCCAUCAGAGUCGCCAACUGUCGCUAUGUUAAAAAUACAGAGUCCUCAUCAGUUUUUAUUUAUUCCAAAGGAAAGAGAAAAUAUCGAGAAAACCCCAAAAGAAUGAUCGCCACAACCACGAACAGGUUUGGAAGUCGAUUAUGCAAGGGGAAGGUAUUAGCACCCCUCACAUCCAUGGUACUCCAUGGGAACCAUCUAAGAUGUCUACGCUUGAAUGUGUGUUGGUAUCUUAGUGUUUACUUGCUAAAGGUUUAAAGAGUGGAGAUGGAUAUUUAAUUAGUGUGCUCGCCAAGGAUUUGGGUCCUCAUGCCUACGUAUGCUCAGUUGUUGAAAUGAGAAAUCAGAGCCCCGUAGUUUGUGGGUACAAAAUGUUUGUUCGUUUUGUUGAUUUAGGUUUUAGAAGUGAUGCCUGAAGGCUCAAACAAAAGGUUUGAUGAGUUGACGUUGUUUUUAUGUCUUUGAAAAGAUAAUAUUCUUGACUUCGGAUUUCACUAAAGACUAUGGGUAAAGGUGAGUAUUUCGAAUUACCAAGCCAAGCGUCUUGUGUUCAAAAUACUCAGAACGAGUGUAGGAAAUCUCCAUUCUCAUCCAUUCUCUACCACUUAAGGCUCUUGGCGUACAAUCCUAAUCAUAUUUUAUUAUGUUUUUGAAUUUGGUUUGAGAAAAUACCGCUUGACGUUGUACCGAGGGUUUGUUUAUUGAUGAUUUGUGAAAUGGUGAGAGAUUGAGGAAGAGAUGGGAAAGAAUGGAUGAAGUGGAUGAAAUACUUGACGUUGGAUCAAGCACUGUGAUUUUAUUUGAAAAACAACUUGAUAUUGGAUCAAAUAUCUUUUGUUUCUUUUGAAAAGUUUUGUUUUAUCUCUUGUUUUUUUAAUCUUUUUAGUUAGCAUGCAUGAUGAAAUACUAAAAGAAAUAAACAUAGACUAUUACAUGUUUAUGGGAUGGGGGGACAUUUGAUCCACAAUGGGAGGAUGUAAGCAAUUAAACCAUAAAGGAGAAAUGGAAAGAAAAUACAAGUUACAAAGUAUGUAUCAUGCCUAAACAUACAAGUGGCAUGACACUUCAUACAAUUCAAGGCUAUUGGAUGAGAAUGAAUUAGAGGCAUGACUAGUUAGGAGUAUGCUUGAAUCUCAAAGUCACAUGUGGGAACACAAAGCAACAAACGGGGUUAGCAUGAGAUCAAGUCAAAUGAGAAUGAUGCGAUAAAUGUAAGCUCAUUCAAUGGUUUAAAUCAAUUCAAAUGGUAAAGGAUUAAUCGAUGAAAAGCAAUCUAAGAUCUACCAUGUGAUUAUGGCAAAUGAACUAGGUACACAAGAAAUUCAUCAUCUAAAUUGAAAUGGAAUUUUAAAUUUAUCAAUAUGAUCACAAACCAAAUGAAUCGAUCAAAAGUCAAUUAAAAAUGACUAUUAAUUCUAAAGAUGAAAAUCUAACUAAACAUGAAUUAAGAUCAAAAUUAAUCAAAUGGGAAAUUCACAAUCCAAAUUCAAGAAUUUAAUCUAACCUACAUGAUCAUGAACAAUUAUCAUACAAUAGUCCAAUUGAAUGAAAAUUCAAUCUAAAUUCUAAUCAUGGUAAAAUCAACCAUUAACCUUGUUAAUCAACACAAAAAUCCACAAAAAGAAUUAUCAAAACCUAAUGACUAUUAUUCUAAUCAUGGCAAGGUUAAUCAAUUAUGAAUUAAAUCUAGAAAAUUAAGAACUAAAUCUAAUCUAAAAAAAUGAUUAAACCUAAUUCCUAAGUCCUAAUUAACUAUUUGAUUCUAACUAUGGAUUAAACUAAUUAAUCAAAAAAAAAAUGCUAAUUCCUAAUAUCUAAAAUCAAGAACUAACCUAAAUCACAAUUAGAUCAACCAUUCAACACCAAGAUUAGUCACAAAAACUAGGAAUUAUAACUAAGUAAUUAUGAAUUAAUCAUGGAUUAAAUGGAGUUAAGAAAAUAAAUUAUGAACAUGGGUCAGGGGUAAGAUCCAAGAUGGAGGGGUGUGAAUUGGGAAUAAAAUACUUGUUAGUUCACUUGGGCCAAGGGCCUAAUCUUGCCUAAAGGGACCCAAGAACCGACUUCAUGAAAGAAUUCCAUAAGGUAGCUUCAAACUCACCCCGAAUUGAGCGCUCAUGAGAACUCACGGAUUGAAUGAAGUUGCUCGCGUCAACCUUGCAUCAUUGUCGUCAACGCGUCAUCGACGAGGAAUGAGGAUCAGCUUCAAUCGGUAACGUGUAGUCGAUGAGGAGUGAGGAUCGGCUUCAAUUGGUAACGCGUAGUCGACGAAGAGUGAAGAUUAGCUUCGAUUGGAAAUGCAUCGUCGACGAGGAGUGAGGAUUAGAUUUGAUUGGAUUCGUCUCCAGGUAAUGUGUUCGCCCUUUGAUUUCUCUCCUUUUCUACGGACACUCUGUUCUAAACUUAUUCUUUCAUUAUGGUAUGCAUCUCCUCAACCUCUUUUGAUCUCUCCUUCUGUUUCCGUUUUUCUUCUCUGUUUGCUGUCUUUUUAUGUUGCAAUUUCUUCUUUGCCAUACCUCUUCUUAUUAAAUUCUAUUUAUGUUUUCUGUUGGAAUUGUGGUCUUUGUUAGUGGUUGAUAAGGGUUGUUAUCAGGAGCGUUAGAGGAAAUUCUAUUACAAGUGGUUAGAGGUUGUUGAGGAGUUUAUUGGAGGUUGUGGAUUCGGUUGAAGGGUGUUUUUUGAGGGAGAUAGAGGUUCUGUAUUGGAGCAGAUUGAAGGUUGAGUGUGUUAGAAGUGUAUUCUGGAUCGAAGUCAGGUUGGUUAUGUGGAGGAAUGAGGGUUUUGUAUGAGUUUCUUGACAGUUGGAGAAUUCUGCAGGUUUUUUAGUUUAGGAUUAUUGAAGAUUGGAAGAGGGAUAAUAAUAUGUUCAGUGCAGGGAGCUGUUAUCAGUUAUAUUCUGUUGAGAAGUUUGUUGAUAGUUGGUUGUCAUUCUGUUGGUUAUGAGAGGAGUUUGUUAUAGGUUGGUUGAGAGUUGAGGGAAGGUUUUGGGAGAAUUCGUUUCAGGUGGUUAGCUUGGUUAUUUUGUUAUAUAUUUUGUUGGAAAUCAGUUACAUGGUUUACGAGUUUUUGAAUCGGUUGGGAAUUCAGUUACGGUUCAGUUUUUGCAUUCUAUUAUGGUUAUCUUGAUUCUUUUGACGGGUUUUAGAUUGGUGGUGUUAGUAUUAUUUUUUAUGUAUGUUAUCAAAUGACUCCUAUUGUGAAAUGUUUGCUUUGGUUUUGAUGAUUUUGUGCAGGGCUGAAUCGGCUUGCUUAGGGACUUAGUGAAAUGGAGUCCAUGAUGUUAUCAUGGAGCUAUUGUGAUAUUGUAAUUGGAUUGGAUUUUAUUGAAUGUAGACUUGGAUCAUAUUGGAAAAUUGUGGUUGUUGUAACAUGAAUUAGUGAUUUUGGAAAUGUAAUGUAAUUUGGAAUUGAAAUUGUAUAAGAUAGUUGUAUGAAAUUAUUGAAUUUCAGAAUUGUAAUGGUAAUGGUUUAAAUUGGGAUUGAAAUUGAAAAUGUAAUUGCAAUGUGGUUUGAAAUUUCUAGGUGUAUGGCUUAGAAUGAAAAAUGGUUUAAAAACGUUUAGAAU